Molecule: ribosomal RNA, 254 nt
Filed under: uncultured bacterium
Lineage: Bacteria
Description: partial 16S ribosomal RNA
Rfam family: Bacterial small subunit ribosomal RNA
Source: RNAcentral
GACGAACCGUGCGAACGUUAUUCGGAAUUACUGGGCUUAAAGCGCGUGUAGGCGGGCCGGCACGUCGGUCGCUGAAAGCCCCCGGCUCAACCGGGGAAGCGGCGCCGAUACGACCGGCCUGGAGGGGGGUAGGGGGACCUGGAACUUCCGGUGGAGCGGUGAAAUGCAUUGAGAUCGGAAAGAACACCAACGGCGAAAGCACUCUGCUGGGCCGACACUGACACUGAGAGACGAAAGCUAGGGGAGCAAAUGGG